CGGACGACGCUGGGCGGCGUGCCUAACACAUGCAAGUCGAGCGGGGUUGAAGCGAGGGGUAACUCGAACUUCUACCUAGCGGCGGACGGGUGAGUAACGCGUGGGCAACCUGCCUCAAGGAUCGGGAUAACAGCUCGAAAGGGCUGCUAAUACCGGAUAUGCCUAUGGCCUCGCAUGGGGCUGUGGGCAAAGGGGAAACCCGCCUUGAGAUGGGCCCGCGUCCCAUCAGCUAGUUGGUGAGGUGAAGGCUCACCAAGGCGACGACGGGUAGCCGGCCUGAGAGGGUGACCGGCCACACUGGGACUGAGACACGGCCCAGACUCCUACGGGGGGCAGCAGUGGGGGAUCUUGCACAAUGGGCGAAAGCCUGAUGCAGCGACGCCGCGUGAGCGAAGAAGGCCUUCGGGUUGUAAAGCUCUGUCUGGAGGGACGAAGAAAGUGACGGUACCUCCGGAGGAAGCCACGGCUAACUACGUG
Molecule: ribosomal RNA, 477 nt
Filed under: uncultured bacterium
Lineage: Bacteria
Description: bacterial SSU rRNA
Rfam family: Bacterial small subunit ribosomal RNA
Source: RNAcentral